GAAGUCGCGCGGUAUAUGAAGCAUAUGCAAAGUAAAGUGGCGUUGUAAAGAAUUAUGAUAUUGAAGAGUUGUUGUUACAAGCAAUGUUCAGUACAAAAUGCAAAAACACAAACAAGCCACUUCUCAGCGCUCAUCAGAGUCAUCACUGGAGGAAGGCGAAGCCCCUUUCCCAGCCCGCAGCGCUCGAGUAAGUUGUGUCCUCUUUUCUUGGCCUAUUUUCGAACCUGCACAAAGGGAAAAGAUGUGUUAGAGACACCAUGAAGGAAGACAG
This 271-nucleotide long non-coding RNA is filed under the name Phaseolus vulgaris (common bean). RNAcentral's name for it is "long non-coding RNA (PVUL_LNC002938)". The record is from RNAcentral. Lineage: Eukaryota; Viridiplantae; Streptophyta; Magnoliopsida; Fabales; Fabaceae.